RNAcentral lists this ribosomal RNA (1346 nucleotides) under uncultured bacterium. RNAcentral describes it as "bacterial SSU rRNA". It matches the Rfam family "Bacterial small subunit ribosomal RNA", at positions 28 to 1381 of the family's 1533-position model. The record is from RNAcentral.
GACGAACGCUGGCGGCGUGCUUAACACAUGCAAGUCGAACGGAAAGGCCCUGCUUUUGUGGGGUGCUCGAGUGGCGAACGGGUGAGUAACACGUGAGUAACCUGCCCUUGACUUUGGGAUAACUUCAGGAAACUGGGGCUAAUACCGGAUAGGAGCUCCUGCUGCAUGGUGGGGGUUGGAGAGUUUCGGCGGUUGGGGAUGGACUCGCGGCUUAUCAGCUUGUUGGUGGGGUAGUGGCUUACCAAGGCUUUGACGGGUAGCCGGCCUGAGAGGGUGACCGGCCACAUUGGGACUGAGAUACGGCCCAGACUCCUACGGGAGGCAGCAGUGGGGAAUAUUGCACAAUGGGCGGAAGCCUGAUGCAGCAACGCCGCGUGCGGGAUGACGGCCUUCGGGUUGUAAACCGCUUUCGCCUGUGACGAAGCGUGAGUGACGGUAAUGGGUAAAGAAGCACCGGCUAACUACGUGCCAGCAGCCGCGGUGACACGUAGGGUGCGAGCGUUGUCCGGAUUUAUUGGGCGUAAAGGGCUCGUAGGUGGUUGAUCGCGUCGGAAGUGUAAUCUUGGGGCUUAACCCUGAGCGUGCUUUCGAUACGGGUUGACUUGAGGAAGGUAGGGGAGAAUGGAAUUCCUGGUGGAGCGGUGGAAUGCGCAGAUAUCAGGAGGAACACCAGUGGCGAAGGCGGUUCUCUGGGCCUUUCCUGACGCUGAGGAGCGAAAGCGUGGGGAGCGAACAGGCUUAGAUACCCUGGUAGUCCACGCUGUAAACGGUGGGUACUAGGUGUGGGGUCCAUUCCACGGGUUCCGUGCCGUAGCUAACGCUUUAAGUACCCCGCCUGGGGAGUACGGCCGCAAGGCUAAAACUCAAAGGAAUUGACGGGGCCCCGCACAAGCGGCGGAGCAUGCGGAUUAAUUCGAUGCAACGCGUAGAACCUUACCUGGGUUUGACAUGGAUCGGGAGCGCUCAGAGAUGGGUGUGCCUCUUUUGGGGUCGGUUCACAGGUGGUGCAUGGCUGUCGUCAGCUCGUGUCGUGAGAUGUUGGGUUAAGUCCCGCAACGAGCGCAACCCUUGUUCACUGUUGCCAGCACGUUAUGGUGGGGACUCAGUGGAGACCGCCGGGGUCAACUCGGAGGAAGGUGGGGAUGACGUCAAGUCAUCAUGCCCCUUAUGUCCAGGGCUUCACGCAUGCUACAAUGGCUGGUACAGAGAGUGGCGAGCCUGUGAGGGUGAGCGAAUCUCGGAAAGCCGGUCUCAGUUCGGAUUGGGGUCUGCAACUCGACCUCAUGAAGUCGGAGUCGCUAGUAAUCGCAGAUCAGCAACGCUGCGGUGAAUACGUUCCCGGGGCU